CGGGGUGUAGCUCAGUUUGGUUAGAGUGCUAGCAUGGGGGGCUAGAGGUCCGCAGUUCGAAUCUGCGCACUCCGA
This 75-nucleotide transfer RNA is filed under the name marine sediment metagenome. It matches the Rfam family "tRNA". Rfam says of the family: Transfer RNA (tRNA) molecules are approximately 80 nucleotides in length. Their secondary structure includes four short double-helical elements and three loops (D, anti-codon, and T loops). The record is from RNAcentral.